UUAAUUCAGAUUUCAAGGGACAAUAGCUUCGAGAAGGUUUGGCUCUGACGUUGAGGUUAGGAAUAAGCAGCUAGGCUCGUGAACGACAUGGCGGAGAAAGCGGCGGCGCCACCACCACCGUCGAAGCCUCUGACAUCUCAGGAGUGGGAAACCCUAAUCGAGGACUUCCAGAAUGGCGUCCACCACAAAUGGAACUCUCUGGAUCCUCUCUUCGAUCUUCUCCUCUCCUCUCUUCUCCGCAAGGACUUCCCUCUCUUUCUCAAGCUCCAACUCCUUGUCUUCCUCGACGAAUUCUCCCUCUCCUUCCUCACCUCUCACCACCAUCUCCAUCGCCUCGUCGAAGCGCUCAAAGCUGUUGUCCAUGCGCCGCUCGACGUUGCCGCUUCCACCUUCAAAGACCAGUUCAUGGUCUCUGCCACCUCGAUUCUCAUCUGCACAUCAGAAAACGUUGCCGUCGAGGCCCAAACGGAGACUAACCUGGUUGAGCUGCUGCUGACAGUUGUAAACCGGCCUAAUUUCGGUUCGGACCGGCAAACGCGCGGCGUGGCGUGCGAAUGCCUGAGGGAAUUGGAGCGAUGGAAACCGGGAUUGCUCUCCGAUGUGGUUGGACACUUGUGGAGUUUGUGCCAGAGCGAACGUACUCACGCUUCGCAGUGUUACCUCUUGCUCUUCGCAUCUGUGAUUCACAGCAUCGUCGCUCGGAAACUCAGCGUUUCGAUUCUCAACACAUCGGUUCCGAUGAUCCCUUUCUACGCGCCUAACUGUGUGACGGAUUCGGGCUCGGGUUCAGGCUCGGAGUCAAGUUCGGGAUUGAAUGUGAAGGAGUUGAGGAGGGCGUUGUCAUUUUUGCUGGAGUGGACGCUAGUGAUGACUCCUUUCGGGAUGAUGGAGUUUUUGUCUAUGAUAAUUCCCGUGGCUGUGGCAUUGGAAUUGCAACCUUCCAUGCUGAAGGUGCAGGUGUUCGGGAUGAUUCAUUCCUUUGACCCUGUUCUGUGCCAUGUUGUUUUGAGCAUGUAUUUGCGUUUCUUGGAGGCAUUUGAAGGUCAAGAGGGAGAGGUUUCUCGCAGGCUCUUGUUGAUUUCGAGAGAAUCUCAACAUUUUUUGGUGUUUCGCUUGUUGGCUAUCCACUGGUUGUUGGGUUUCAAUCAGUUGAUUUUCGAGAAGACGAAGCCCACCAUCGAAUUGUGCUCCACUUUUUAUCCCGCUUUGUUUGAUCCUCUGGCUUUGAAAGCCUUGAAGCUUGACCUUCUUGCGUUUUCAUCUGUUUGUGCUCAUGUAUUGAGGCUGAAAAGUGGUUCUGAUGAGUUGAUUGAUCCAGUGAAGCUGUUUGAAAAUGGUCUUGUUUGUGUAUCUUCUUUCAAAUGGCUGCCUCCCACGAGCACCGAGACUGCUGUUGCAUUUCGCACCUUCCACAAGUUUCUGAUUGCUUCUUCUUCUCAUUCUGACAAUGAUCCUUCCACCGCAAGAAAUCUGUUGGACUCUGCCAUUUUUCGCACUUUGCAGGGAUUGCUUGUGAACAUGAUGUUGGAAAGUAGAAGGCUGGUUCCUGUUGUCGUAGCCUUUGUUGAUCGGUUACUCUCCUGUCAAAAGCAUUCUUGGUUGGGUGAGUGCUUACUUCAGAAAUUUGAUGAGCACUUGCUUCCCAAAGUGAGAAUGGAUUAUAAGUUGGUUUAUUGCUUCCCAAUAUUUGAUAGAAUUGCUGAAAAUCAGACUAUACCUCCUCGUGGAUUGUUAGAGCUGCUCACGAACUUCAUGAUUUUCCUUGUGGAGAAACAUGGCCCAGAUACGGGGAUGAAAUCGUGGUCCCAGGGAAGCAGAGCUCUUGGAAUUUGCCGAACUAUGCUUAUGCGCCACCAUAGCUCUAGAUUGUUCCUUAGAUUGUCUCGGCUGCUUGCAUUUACAUGUCUAUAUUUCCCUGAUCUGGAGGUCCGUGAUAAUUCAAGGAUUUACUUGCGUAUGCUGGUCUGCAUUCCAGGGAAGAAGCUUAGAGACAUCCUGAACUUCGGGGACAUGAUCGUUGGAAUUUCGCCAUCAUCACAUCCAACCUCAUUUUUUAACGUUCAGUCUCCUCGACCUUCUCAGAAAUUCAAGUCAUUUAAAAACUUAUCAUCCUGCAUUCACCUUGAGCGUUUGCGCCCAUUGCUAGUCAAACAAUUUUGGUCUCUGUCGUUGUCAAAUUUAGUUGUUAGUAACGCCAAUCCUACUUAUCUGGAGAGCAUCAGAGAUUUCAAAGCUCCUGUUGAGGAAAAGGAAUUUUCUGACAGUUCCAAUACACAGAUCAUUCCUGAAACGUUAAGGAUAAAUCAGCCACAAGAACCACUCCGUGUUAUGGAUUCUAAAGUUGCAGAAAUUUUAAAUACAUUAAGGAAGUACUUUUCCUGCAUUCCCGACUUCAGAUAUAUGCCAGGUCUCAAAGUCAGAAUAUCAUGCAGUUUAAGAUUUGAAUCUGAUACUUUUAAUCGCAUGUUGGGAAUAGAUAAAACUGUCCCAUCCUUGGAAGAGAUAGACACACUUCCAGCUAUAUAUGCUACUGUGUUAAAUUUCUCGUCAUCUGCACCAUAUGGGUCAAUUCCAUCCUGUCGUAUACCUUUUCUUCUUGGUGAACCUUACAAUAAAGAUCCUGCGUCUCAAAAUGUCUCCCUAAGUAUUGUUCCUGUUGGUGUCAAUGAUUCCAGAGAAGAGGAAAAAUUAAAAGCUACUGUUGUAGUUGAUUUGGAACCCAGGGAACCCACACCAGGUAUAGUUGAUGUUCACAUUGAAACAAAUGCAGAAAAUGGUCAAAUCAUCCACGGUCAACUUCAAGGAAUCACAGUAGGUAUAGAAGACAUGUUUCUCAAGGCUAUUGUCCCAUCAGACAUUCCAGAAGAUGAAACACCUCGAUACAACUUUAACCUGUUCAAUACUUUGUGGGAGGCAUGUGGCUCAUCCUCCAGCACUGGCCGGGAGACCUUUCAGUUGAAAGGGGGUAAAGGGAUUGCUGCCAUCGGUGGAACUCAAUCUGUCAAGCUUCUUGAUGUCCCUGCAGCCUCUUUGAUCCAGGCAACUGAGCGCCAUUUGGCAUGCUUUGUUGUAGGUGUGAGUGGGGAGCCACUUAUUGAUGCUGUAUGGGAAGGGGGAAUCAUUCAAAAUGUCAUUUGGGAAGAUGCUUCUCCUGAUGCCACUUCUGUUUCUCAUCACGAUACAGGUCCACUCCGUCUUACUUACAAUGAUGAAGAGUAUGAGAAAGGGGCUAUUAGCAAUACCAGGAAAAGAAACCUAGGUUGUUUUCAUGUUCUAAUAUUCCUUCCACCGCGGUUCCAUCUCCUUUUCCAAAUGGAAGUUGGAGAUGUUUCAACUUUAGUUCGUAUCCGUACAGAUCAUUGGCCGAGCUUAGCGUACAUUGAUGAUUAUUUAGAAGCUUUGUAUCUAUCAUAAGAGCUCAUGUUUCACCCGCAUGGACUAAUGCAGAAAGAUGAGUAGUCCUGAAUCAGCUUGUGAUAAUGUUUUGUGAAGAUUUUGUCCAGCCUUUGCAAGGGUGUUUUGAUUGCUUGUAGUCAUAAGGGUUGGGUAGGUAAAGCAAGAUGGUAUUUUGAUCACAUGGUGAAGAAGUAUAAAAUUAUGCCCGAAAUCAAGCAUUAUGGUUGCAUGGUUGAUCUAUGUAGUAGAUUUGGUUGUAAAAGUGUAUUUCUCUUUACAAAGAGGAAGGAAUGAGAAAGAUCAAUAUUUAUCUUUUAACUUCUUCAUAGCUUUAAUAGAAGUUUGAGAUAUUUUAGAGCAGUGUAGCUUUUAGCUUCCUAACAAAGCCCAUUUGGAUUUUGGCGUUCAGUUAUAUCAUGUUAUCCUUCAUUGUUCUGGGUAAAUAAGAAAGGAUAUCAUGAACACCAUUUGAAGUUGUGAACUACUUUACAAUAAUUGGUACUCUUCAAAUAAACUGUGUUUGUAGUAAUUAUUUUUCAUGAUAUAUUUCAAGAAAUGGUGGGACUGGGAAACUAUUCUUUCAAUUCAAUUUGGAGGAGAGGUUGAUGUGCUGUUGCAUUGUGCUGGUGUUUUUUUUUUUUCAAUCCGUAGCCAGUAUUAUUUGGUAAUAAAGCAUAUUCAUUUUACUA
Molecule: RNA transcript, 4085 nt
Organism: Vigna unguiculata (cowpea)
Lineage: Eukaryota; Viridiplantae; Streptophyta; Magnoliopsida; Fabales; Fabaceae
Gene name: AP-5 complex subunit beta-like protein
Source: RefSeq, a predicted model, not a curated record